RNAcentral lists this ribosomal RNA (316 nucleotides) under uncultured microorganism. RNAcentral's name for it is "bacterial SSU rRNA". It matches the Rfam family "Archaeal small subunit ribosomal RNA", at positions 332 to 648 of the family's 1478-position model. The record is from RNAcentral.
GCACCAGGCGCGAAAACUUCACAAUGUGCGAAAGCACGAUGAGGGAAUCCCAAGUGCUUGCACGUAAGUGUAAGCUGUUUCUCUGUCUAAAACGCAGAGAGAGUAAGGGCUGGGUAAGACGGGUGCCAGCCGCCGCGGUAAUACCUGCAGCUCGAGUGGUGACCGUUAUUAUUGGGCCUAAAACGUCCGUAGCCGGUUUAAUAAACUGCCUGGGUAAAUCGGACCGCUUAACGGUUCGAAUUCCGGGUAGACUGUUAAACUUGAGACCGGGAGAAGUUAGAGGUACUCCUGGGGUAGAGGUGAAAUUCUGUAAUCC